UUAAGCGAAUAAGCGUACACGGUGGAUGCCUAGGCAGUCAGAGGCGAUGAAGGACGUGCUAAUCUGCGAUAAGCGCCGGUAAGGUGAUAUGAACCGUUAUAACCGGCGAUUUCCGAAUGGGGAAACCCAGUGCAAUUCGUUGCACUAUCAUUACCUGAAUACAUAGGGUAAUGAAGCGAACCGGGAGAACUGAAACAUCUAAGUACCCCGAGGAAAAGAAAUCAAACGAGAUUCCCCCAGUAGCGGCGAGCGAACGGGGAGCAGCCCAGGACCUUAAUCAGUAUCAGCAUCAAGAGAACAGUCUGGAAAGGCUGGCCACAGCAGGUGAUAGCCCUGUAUCUGAAGAUGUUGGUGUUGUGAGUCCGAUGAGUAAGGCGGGACACGUGUUAUCCUGUCUGAAUACGGGGGGACCAUCCUCCAAGGCUAAAUACUCCUGACUGACCGAUAGUGAACCAGUACCGUGAGGGAAAGGCGAAAAGAACCCCGGCGAGGGGAGUGAAAAAGAACCUGAAACCGUGUACGUACAAGCAGUGGGAGCACCCUUCGGGGUGUGACUGCGUACCUUUUGUAUAAUGGGUCAGCGACUUAUAUUCUGUAGCAAGGUUAACCGGAUAGGGGAGCCGCAGGGAAACCGAGUCUUAACUGGGCGAAUUAGUUGCAGGGUAUAGACCCGAAACCCGGUGAUCUAGCCAUGGGCAGGUUGAAGGUUGGGUAACACUAACUGGAGGACCGAACCGACUAAUGUUGAAAAAUUAGCGGAUGACUUGUGGCUGGGGGUGAAAGGCCAAUCAAACCGGGAGAUAGCUGGUUCUCCCCGAAAGCUAUUUAGGUAGCGCCUCGUGAAUUCAUCUCCGGGGGUAGAGCACUGUUUCGGCUAGGGGGUCAUCCCGACUUACCAACCCGAUGCAAACUGCGAAUACCGGAGAAUGUUAUCACGGGAGACACACGGCGGGUGCUAACGUUCGUCGUGAAGAGGGAAACAACCCAGACCGCCGGCUAAGGUCCCAAAGUCAUAAUUAAGUGGGAAACGAAGUGGGAAGGCUCAGACAGCCAGGAUGUUGGCUUAGAAGCAGCCAUCAUUUAAAGAAAGCGUAAUAGCUCACUGGUCGAGUCGGCCUGCGCGGAAGAUGUAACGGGGCUAAAUUAUGCACCGAAGCCGCGGCAGCGAUAUGUAAAUAUUGUUGGGUAGGGGAGCGUUCUGUAAGCCUGUGAAGGUGACCUGUGAGGGUUGCUGGAGGUAUCAGAAGUGCGAAUGCUGACAUAAGUAACGAUAAUGCGGGUGAAAAACCCGCACGCCGGAAGACCAAGGGUUCCUGUCCAACGUUAAUCGGGGCAGGGUGAGUCGACCCCUAAGGCGAGGCUGAAAAGCGUAGUCGAUGGGCAACGGGUUAAUAUUCCCGUACUGGUGGUAACUGCGAAGGGGGGACGGAGAAAGCUAAAUCAUCCGGGCGACGGUUGUCCCGGUUUAAGCGUGCAGGUGGACUGACCAGGCAAAUCCGGUCGGUUGUUAACACUGAGGCGUGACGACGAGCCACUACGGUGGUGAAGUGAUUGAUGCUCUGCUUCCGGGAAAAGCCUCUAAGCUCCAGGUUACCAUUAAUCGUACCCCAAACCGACACAGGUGGUCAGGUAGAGAAUACUCAGGCGCUUGAGAGAACUCGGGUGAAGGAACUAGGCAAAAUGGUGCCGUAACUUCGGGAGAAGGCACGCUGGCAUUAGGUGAAGUGGUUUACCCAUGGAGCUGAAGCCAGCCGCAGAUACCAGCUGGCUGCAACUGUUUAUUAAAAACACAGCACUGUGCAAACACGAAAGUGGACGUAUACGGUGUGACGCCUGCCCGGUGCCGGAAGGUUAAUUGAUGAGGUCAGCCGCAAGGCGAAGCUUCUGAUCGAAGCCCCGGUAAACGGCGGCCGUAACUAUAACGGUCCUAAGGUAGCGAAAUUCCUUGUCGGGUAAGUUCCGACCUGCACGAAUGGCGUAAUGAUGGCCAGGCUGUCUCCACCCGAGACUCAGUGAAAUUGAACUCGCUGUGAAGAUGCAGUGUACCCGCGGCAAGACGGAAAGACCCCGUGAACCUUUACUAUAGCUUGACACUGAACAUUGAGCCUUGAUGUGUAGGAUAGGUGGGAGGCAAUGAAGUGUGGACGCCAGUCUGCACGGAGCCAUCCUUGAAAUACCACCCUUUAACGUUUGAUGUUCUAACCCGGGUCCAUAAUCUGGAUCGGGGACCGUGUCUGGUGGGUAGUUUGACUGGGGCGGUCUCCUCCCAAAGAGUAACGGAGGAGCACGAAGGUUGGCUAAGCAUGGUCGGACAUCAUGCGGUUAGUGCAAAGGCAUAAGCCAGCUUGACUGCGAGAGUGACGGCUCGAGCAGGUACGAAAGUAGGUCUUAGUGAUCCGGUGGUUCUGAAUGGAAAGUGCGGAAGAGAUAACCGCUGAAAGCAUCUAAGCGGGAAACUUGCCUCGAGAUGAGUCUUCCCUGACCCUUUAAGGGUCCUGAAGGAACGUUUGAGACUAAGACGUUGAUAGGCUGGGUGUGUAAGCGCAGCGAUGCGUUGAGCUGACCAGUACUAAUGAACCGUGAGGCUUAACCUG
RNAcentral lists this ribosomal RNA (2594 nucleotides) under Morganella morganii F675. RNAcentral's name for it is "bacterial LSU rRNA". It matches the Rfam family "Bacterial large subunit ribosomal RNA". Lineage: Bacteria; Pseudomonadati; Pseudomonadota; Gammaproteobacteria; Enterobacterales; Morganellaceae. The record is from RNAcentral.